Long non-coding RNA from Acanthochromis polyacanthus (spiny chromis), 2002 nucleotides. RefSeq lists it as uncharacterized. The transcript has 4 exons. The record is from RefSeq and is a predicted model, not a curated record. Lineage: Eukaryota; Metazoa; Chordata; Actinopteri; Pomacentridae.
GGAACCAAACAUGAACCAGCAGGAGUACAGGGGCAGAGUUAAGUCCAUAAAACUGUGAUGUUGAGAGAUGCUACAGAAGUCUAUGGCCCAACAGGGAGUGAAAGACAGAACUGGCUUAUAUACUAGGAGGUGGAAUUGCAAACAGGUGACGAGUGUGAGCUAAUUACAGCAGCUGAUUGACAGUGCUGCACUCAGACUGCAGGCAGGUGGAACAUUCAGGAAGCAGAGACACAAGAGAGAGGGAGAAAUGCAGACAGACAGAGGGAGCCAGAGAUACAAGACAAGGAGAGAGAGAAGACAUGGGGCAAUUGAGGGAGAGGAAUAUUAGAGAGAGACCACAGAGAGUAAGAAUAGAGAGAUGAUGACAGACAGAGGCGGACUUACCAUUAGGCAAACACAGGCAAUUGCCUGGGGCCCCAAGAUUUCCAGGGCCCCCCAAACGUCUCGUGAAAGCUGAUUAAUAAAGGUGUUUUUUUAUUUGAAGCAAUUACUAUUGUUGUAGUCUUAAUUUGCACGCUUAAAAAUAAAUAAAAAUGGUUGAUUUAUCACUAUCAUGAUCGUUAUCCCCCCUCCUGUCUCGCGCAAUGGACUAUUCCAUGUUACUGCGCACGCGCAGGCUUGAUUCAGGAAGACGGCAGCAAAACAAACUUGUUGGCGCGGUUUUGAGAGAGCGGGUGAGCAGUGAGAAAGAUGAAGCGGAGUUAUCUGAGUGGAGCGGAGAAGAGAAGAAGGCGAGAAGAAAAUAAACAGUUUUUAUCAAAACUACAGAAGGUAUCAACCUUUUUCACGGUGACACCGAGUGGGGAUUCUCUGCAACAGCUAGAGCUAGAUGCUGCUGUCAGUAGCAGCUCUGCUGUCAGUAGCAGCUCUGCUGUCAGUGUCAGCUGAGGAGAUGUGGCGAGUGAAGCUAGGGAUUCUUUUCAUGAAGAUAAACGUAACAUACAACUUCAUCCAGGCUGAACCUGCUGCUGCUGCCACACUAAAGACGUGUUGAGGAUUAAACGCUGAAUGAUGAACACCCCCCUGUGGCUCGGCAACAUGGUUCAUUCCAUCACAUGUGGGGAGAUUCCCAAUAUCAGUAAACAACGUUUUCAUGUCCCAGUAUUACAUUUAUGUGUGUUUUAUAAUGUUUAAAUGUUUACUGACGGUUAAUGCAAAAAUAUUUACUGGCAGUCAAUGUACCGGAAAUGUGUUGAACCUUUUUUCCUCCAUCUGUACACAUUUGGCGGUUUUUAACUGUUAACUUUAAAGCCUCUAAGGUCCGUGUAUAUUUUGGUAAUUGGAUUUUCCGUUCUAAAGCAGGUAUUGAAAAACAAAAAACGAGUGGUUAUUUGAUUUUCGUUUUCAAAGGCAAAAAUUAAAAUUGAAAUACAAGGCGUUUUUCCUUUUCACGAUCAAAAAUGGAUAUACGAAUUUUAAAAAAUGCUUUGAUUUUCAUUUUUUAUUUACAAAAACAAAAAAUAAAAUAAGUCAGAGACAGAAACGAAAUAAGAACCGUUUUUCAUUUUCUGAGACCGGAAGUGGUCAUCAGCAAGGGUGGUCAGAUUGAAUCAGAGCCGAGGACUCUCUGUCCCACCCACAUUUACCGGCUUCUGCUGUUUAUGGAUGCUGCUACCGCUGCUGCUGACAACGUUAGCUUCCAAAAGUGGAGAUAAACUCUACAGCCUUGGUCUGGAUCAUUGGGAACAUCUGAUCUGAUGGACUGAAAGCUACAGAGAACAUGAACAUCCAGCUGUGGUUGUCUGAACAGUCUUCUCUCCAUCACUGUGAGGAAGAGCAGCACUGAUGUCCUCCUCAUGCUUCCAUUAAGAACAAUGAUGCUGCAGAUUAAGCUCCUCUCUUCAUAAUACUUGUCUUGUGACUGUUCAGUUUUUACACUUCACUGUCAGCAACACAUUAUUUAUUUCAUCCAUUUAUUACAUGUUUACACAUCUUUACAGUUCACAGUUGUUAAAUAAUGCAGUUUUUAAAUGUGCAAUGAAGGAAAUAAUGAAGCUCUUGA